This 887-nucleotide ribosomal RNA is filed under the name uncultured delta proteobacterium. RNAcentral's name for it is "bacterial SSU rRNA". It matches the Rfam family "Bacterial small subunit ribosomal RNA", at positions 9 to 873 of the family's 1533-position model. The record is from RNAcentral. Lineage: Bacteria; Deltaproteobacteria.
GAGUUUGAUCAUGGCUCAGAGCGAACGUUAGCGGGAGGCUUAACACAUGCAAGUCGAGCGAGAACAGUCCUUCGGGGCUUAGUACAGCGGCGGACGGGUGAGUAACACGUGGAUAAUCUGCCCUUUGGCGGGGGACAACAGCUCGAAAGGGUUGCUAAUACCGCAUAAGUCUUUGAGGCCUUUGGGUUUCAGAGGGAAAGAUGGCCUCUUCUCGAAAGCUAUCACCGAAGGAUGAGUCCGCGUAGCAUCAGCUUGUUGGUGGGGUAAUGGCCUACCAAGGCUAAGACGCUUAGCUGGUCUGAGAGGAUGAUCAGCCACACUGGGACUGAGAUACGGCCCAGACUCCUACGGGAGGCAGCAGUGGGGAAUAUUAGACAAUGGGCGCAAGCCUGAUCUAGCCAUCCCGCGUGAGUGAUGAAGGCCCUUGGGUCGUAAAGCUCUGUGGGGAGAGACGAAACCUGAAGGGAACAAUACCCCUUCAACUGACGGUAUCUCCUUAGCAAGCGCCGGCUAACUCCGUGCCAGCAGCCGCGGUAAUACGGAGGGCGCGAACGUUGCUCGGAAUCAUUGGGCGUAAAGCGCACGUAGGCGGCCUGAUAAGUCGGAUGUGAAAGCCCUCGGCUCAACCGAGGAAGUGCAUUCGAAACUGUCAGGCUUGAGUAUGGGAGAGGGUUGCGGAAUUCCCGGUGUAGAGGUGAAAUUCGUAGAUAUCGGGAGGAACACCAGCGGCGAAGCGGCAGCCUGGACCAAUACUGACGCUGAGUGCGAAAGCGUGGGGAGCAACAGGAUUAGAUACUCUGGUAGUCCACGCCGUAAACGAUGAGUGCUCGUGUCUCGGGUAUUGACCCCUGAAGCGCUUAGUAACGCGAUAGCACUUCGCUGGGGAG